GACAGAGGUCCCGAGCGUUAGGCGGAAUCACUGGGCUUAAAGCGUGUGUAGGCGGAUGCCUAAGUACCUUGUGAAAUCCCACGGCUCACCCGUGGAACUGCUUGGUAUACUGGGUAUCUUGAGCCACUUAGGGGCUACCGGAACAAAUGGUGGAGCGGUGAAAUGCGUAGAUAUCAUUUGGAACGCCAAUGGUGAAAACAGGUAGCUGGGAGUGUGCUGACGCUGAGACACGAAAGCCAGGGGAGCAAACGGG
Molecule: ribosomal RNA, 253 nt
Filed under: uncultured bacterium
Lineage: Bacteria
Description: partial 16S ribosomal RNA
Rfam family: Bacterial small subunit ribosomal RNA
Source: RNAcentral